Molecule: non-coding RNA, 1469 nt
Filed under: uncultured fungus
Lineage: Eukaryota; Fungi
Description: eukaryotic LSU rRNA
Rfam family: Eukaryotic large subunit ribosomal RNA (bases 840-1469)
Source: RNAcentral
AGUCGUAACAAGGUUUCCGUAGCAUAAGUUAGGAACGUGAUUUUUCCACAGGUUAAAACUUAUAGAAGCCUUAGUAGCCCAGAGAUGGGAGGCCACCCGACUAAAAAGAAAGUGGCCGCUUGCUAGUUGACAUGAAGAAUGUCAGCGACACGACCGGACUGACGGGAACACCUAUAAUAUUUUCACGGCAUUAUAGGCAACCUACAGCGAACCCUUCUGAGCCUCGAUGCUAAUUGGGAACGCCUACAGACUAAAUGGUUGUGGGUAGAUCAUUCUAUAGGAUGUUCUAUUUGAGAUAUAGUCGGGCCUGAUGGUUACUCAUCAGGGUGUAUUAUGAAUUUCAUAGACACGAUAACCGUUCCGUAGGUGAACCUGCGGAAGGAUCAUUAUAGAGAACAUGCCCCCUGGGGUACAUCUCCAAACCUAUGCCUACCUACCCAAGUUGCUUCUGGCAGGCCUAGCCAUCACCAGCUAGUGCCUGCCAAAAGACCCUAAACUCAUAUUCAUUGUCGUCAGAGUAUCAUAAAAUAGUGAAAACUUUCAGCAACGGAUCUCUUGGUUCUGGCAUCGAUGAAGAACGCAGCGAAAUGCGAUAAGUAAUGUGAAUUGCAGAAUUCAGUGAAUCAUCGAAUCUUUGAACGCACAUUGCACCCCUUGGUAUUCUGGGGGGUAUGCCUGUUCGAGCGUCAUUACAACCCCUCAAGCGCUGCUUGAUGUUGGGCCUCAUCAAUCUGGUAGGCCUUAAAAGCAGUGGAGCGGAUCCAUUUAGCUUCCAGCGUAGUAAUACCCUCGCUGUGGAUGCGAGAUGCGACACCGCCAGUANCACUAAAUAUCAAGGUUGACCUCGGAUCAGGUAGGAAUACCCGCUGAACUUAAGCAUAUCAAUAAGCGGAGGAAAAGAAACCAACAGGGAUUGCCUCAGUAACGGCGAGUGAAGCGGCAACAGCUCAAAUUUGAAAUCUGGCCCCUAGGCCCGAGUUGUAAUUUGUAGAGGAUGCUUCGGGCAUGGUCUGGUCUAAGUUCCUUGGAAUAGGGCGUCAUAGAGGGUGAGAACCCCGUAUGCGACCGGGUACCUAAGUCCAUGUGAAGCUCCUUCAACGAGUCGAGUUGUUUGGGAAUGCAGCUCUAAAUGGGUGGUAAAUUUCAUCUAAAGCUAAAUAUUGGCCAGAGACCGAUAGCGCACAAGUAGAGUGAUCGAAAGAUGAAAAGCACUUUGGAAAGAGAGUUAAACAGUACGUGAAAUUGUUGAAAGGGAAGCGCUUGUAACCAGACUUGCAUUUAGUUGAUCAUCCGACGUUUACGCCGGUGCACUCAACUAAAUUCAGGCCAGCAUCGGUUUCGGUGGUUAGAUAAAGGCCCUAGGAAUGUAGCUUCCCCCGGGGAGUGUUAUAGCCUAGGGUGCAAUGUAGCCUAUCGAGACCGAGGACCGCGCUCUGGCUAGGAUGCUGGCGUAAUGGUUAUAAGCGACC